UACGUAGGUGGCAAGCGUUGUCCGGAAUUAUUGGGCGUAAAGAGCAUGUAGGCGGGCUUUUAAGUCCGACGUGAAAAUGCGGGGCUUAACCCCGUAUGGCGUUGGAUACUGGAAGUCUUGAGUGCAGGAGAGGAAAGGGGAAUUCCCAGUGUAGCGGUGAAAUGCGCAGAUAUUGGGAGGAACACCAGUGGCGAAGGCGCCUUUCUGGACUGUGUCUGACGCUGAGAUGCGAAAGCCAGGGUAGCAAACGGG
This 252-nucleotide ribosomal RNA is filed under the name Acidaminococcus fermentans DSM 20731. RNAcentral's name for it is "partial 16S ribosomal RNA". It matches the Rfam family "Bacterial small subunit ribosomal RNA", at positions 524 to 776 of the family's 1533-position model. The record is from RNAcentral. Lineage: Bacteria; Bacillati; Bacillota; Negativicutes; Acidaminococcales; Acidaminococcaceae.